Molecule: ribosomal RNA, 465 nt
Filed under: Vreelandella stevensii
Lineage: Bacteria; Pseudomonadati; Pseudomonadota; Gammaproteobacteria; Oceanospirillales; Halomonadaceae
Description: partial 16S ribosomal RNA
Rfam family: Bacterial small subunit ribosomal RNA
Source: RNAcentral
CCUACGGGCGGCUGCAGUGGGGAAUAUUGGACAAUGGGGGCAACCCUGAUCCAGCCAUGCCGCGUGUGUGAAGAAGGCCCUCGGGUUGUAAAGCACUUUCAGUGAGGAAGAACGCCUGGUGGUUAAUACCCAUCAGGAAAGACAUCACUCACAGAAGAAGCACCGGCUAACUCCGUGCCAGCAGCCGCGGUAAUACGGAGGGUGCGAGCGUUAAUCGGAAUUACUGGGCGUAAAGCGCGCGUAGGUGGCUUGAUAAGCCGGUUGUGAAAGCCCCGGGCUCAACCUGGGAACGGCAUCCGGAACUGUCAAGCUAGAGUGCAGGAGAGGAAGGUAGAAUUCCCGGUGUAGCGGUGAAAUGCGUAGAGAUCGGGAGGAAUACCAGUGGCGAAGGCGGCCUUCUGGACUGACACUGACACUGAGGUGCGAAAGCGUGGGUAGCAAACAGGAUUAGAUACCCAUGUAGUC